GAUGAACGCUGGCGGCGUGCUUAACACAUGCAAGUCGAACGGUGAAAGAGAGCUUGCUCUCUGGAUCAGUGGCGAACGGGUGAGUAACACGUGAGCAAUCUGCCCCUGACUCUGGGAUAAGCGCUGGAAACGGCGUCUAAUACCGGAUACGAGCUGCGAAGGCAUCUUCAGCAGCUGGAAAGAACUUCGGUCAGGGAUGAGCUCGCGGCCUAUCAGCUAGUUGGUGAGGUAACGGCUCACCAAGGCGUCGACGGGUAGCCGGCCUGAGAGGGUGACCGGCCACACUGGGACUGAGACACGGCCCAGACUCCUACGGGAGGCAGCAGUGGGGAAUAUUGCACAAUGGGCGAAAGCCUGAUGCAGCAACGCCGCGUGAGGGACGACGGCCUUCGGGUUGUAAACCUCUUUUAGCAGGGAAGAAGCGAAAGUGACGGUACCCGCAGAAAAAGCGCCGGCUAACUACGUG
Molecule: ribosomal RNA, 466 nt
Filed under: uncultured bacterium
Lineage: Bacteria
Description: partial 16S ribosomal RNA
Rfam family: Bacterial small subunit ribosomal RNA
Source: RNAcentral